This 366-nucleotide long non-coding RNA is filed under the name Nicotiana tabacum (common tobacco). Its description in RNAcentral is "long non-coding RNA (NTAB_LNC019578)". Lineage: Eukaryota; Viridiplantae; Streptophyta; Magnoliopsida; Solanales; Solanaceae. The record is from RNAcentral.
GUGCUCCUUUCUCAUAUGAGCGGGCUUUUGACUUCAAUGCUUCAAUUGUAUUCCCUUAUUCUCCAGGUGGGUGCCUGAUUUCUUCCUUCCUUUGUCCUUAUUCUCCAGGUGGACGCCUGAUUACUUCUUUUCUUUGUCCUUGUUCUCCAGGUGGACGCCUGAUUUCUUCCUUCUUUGUCCUUGUUCUCCAGGUGGACGCCUGAUUUCUAUUUUUCUUUGUCCUACAACAAACUCCGUUCUACAGGCGGGUCUCCUAUUGGUAAGAUUAAACUUAGGAAGUGCGUCUCCUAUGGUGAAACUAAACUGAGGAAGUGUGUCUCCUAUGGUGAUGACAUGCCUGCAUUUAUACUUGUGGGCGACCUGGAA